Molecule: non-coding RNA, 84 nt
Organism: Pholiota conissans
Lineage: Eukaryota; Fungi; Basidiomycota; Agaricomycetes; Agaricales; Strophariaceae
Source: the annotation of a GenBank genome assembly
GCCGUCGUAGCACAAUGGUAGUGCGUUGCUUUCCUACGUUAAUUCGUAAGGCAAAGGUUGUGGGUUCGAUCCCCACCGUCGGUU